Long non-coding RNA from Triticum aestivum (bread wheat), 1806 nucleotides. RefSeq lists it as uncharacterized. The record is from RefSeq and is a predicted model, not a curated record. Lineage: Eukaryota; Viridiplantae; Streptophyta; Magnoliopsida; Poales; Poaceae. The transcript is spliced from 5 exons.
UGCACCAGACCCCUCGCUAUCGCACGUCCUAGAUUGGAGCGGUGGAUCUGCAUCUCAUAUCUUCAUCACCGAGUCCAUGAGGUGCUCGAUGUGGCAGGGGCGACGAAGAGGAGCGCCGCAUCAAUAGCAGCGACGAACGACGGCCCAGCUGCGGCCCAGACUUGGUGGCCGAGCAGCAGCGACCUCGACGCGGCGCAUGCAUGGUAGCUGAUGCACGGCACAGCGACCGCGACCAGGACGCGGUGGUGGGAGUACGGCGACGGCUGCCAAGACCUGGCGUGACGGCGAUGAAGAUAUCGACUCCGACGACUCGCCUCCGUUCAACAGCGCCCUGCUUUUCCGCAUCGCCUCCAUCAAGCAUCACCUUCUUUUCCGCGCGCACAUCACCUCGGUCACUGGUAAACCGCUGUAUCUCUGUACUCUGCUGGCGAUCUGGAUUUAGGAGCUCUGGGAUUUGGAGAAUGCACGGGCUGGAGUUGGGGAAUAGCCCGGGCUUCCUGCAGAAGACGAUAGGUCUUGUUUGGAAAAAAAAUUCACGAACUAGUGACGACACCGGUAUUCAACUUUCUUCUCUUUUUUUUUGGAGAACUAACUUCUUUUCUUUGUGAAAAAACUAUUCAUGAAUCGGAAUCAUCGAAUUAACAAACUGCUCAGCCGAUUCACGAACUAGAGAUGUAUGCACCCCACCGAACUCAAUUUGUAGGCACUACCGAAUCGCAAAUCCCAAACCCGAAUCAGUGGACUGCGAAUCCGGUAACUAUGGCAGGGACUGACAAGUGGCAUCAGACGUCUGGUAGCGUAAAGGACGACGGGUGGUGGUAGGGCUAUGGGAGGAGCAGGUAGACGGAGGAGGUUACCUGUGGAAAACUGGCAUGUGGAGGCAUAAAGGACGACGGGUGGUGAUAGUGCUACGGGAGGAGCUGGUAGGGCUAUGGCGGCAUAAAGGUUGUGUAGAAAUCACUCAAGUCUGCUUUUUAUUAUGGAAGCUCGUUGUAUGUGUAAAAUUAUUUAUACUCUUGGUCCCGGCGCACGGAGCCUACAAGACGCCGAAUGUUCCUGCUGCUGCUUACCAAGCGGGAAAACACCAGAAAUAAGUUCAACUUGGGGAAGAGCAUGAAGAUGAUGAACUCGCUCGGCGGCUUGUACCGUGUUUUGUGCUGGAGGAACAUAAAAAUCUCCGUUUCCUCAUUACUUUAUUCUGAUGGUUUAUUUGCCAUAUGUUAGAUUGGCGAGAGGUGGGGUAACAGAAAGAGGCGACGUUAAAAUCGGUGCUAGUGACGACGCCGGUAGACACGAUGAGCUUGGCGACAGCGGCUGCCGCAACAUUGUUGUACUUGGAGCCCAUGCUAUCCGAGCUCAACAAUGCCAAUAGCUCAGUCCUUUUACGUGUUCAUUGACAAGUUGUCGUAAAGUACCUUGGCGUCAACAACCACGGCCAUAAUGACAGAGUCGUGCUGGCCGACUGCCCUGCUUCCAUGCGCCGAGCAAUCUACUGGUUUGAGAUGACCGUGAGGACAGCUGGGCUCAAGGGGUUGAAUCGGGUUCACCACAUGUGGUGGCAACCUGGGUCAGCUUUUGUUGGCCCUUUCUACAUGUGGUGGAAUAUUUGGUAUCUUUAGCCUGGUUUUAGUUCUCUGACAGCAAUUAGCAAUGCUAAACUUGAGAGCAAAAGGAGUUGUAAGAAGAAAGGAGUUGUAAGAAGUGUUCCUUAGAAAUUGUACACUAAACUGCUUGCACAUUUUCAUGCAUGUUGGCACUCACCUUGGAGCACAAUUAAAUGGAAAUCAGUAGCAAAAAUACAAUCUG